This 274-nucleotide long non-coding RNA is filed under the name Brassica napus (rape). RNAcentral's name for it is "long non-coding RNA (BNAP_LNC001356)". The record is from RNAcentral. Lineage: Eukaryota; Viridiplantae; Streptophyta; Magnoliopsida; Brassicales; Brassicaceae.
UGCUCCAGCGAACAUGGUACAUGUUACGAUUUGAAAGGAGAGAGACACAAAUCAAGAUGAGAGUGUGUCGGCUACUUUGAUGAAGAUGUGAAACAAGGAAGAGUUUUUCAUUAUAAGUGGGAAAUUAGCAAAGCUCUAGCACACUUAAACAAAAACAUUCCUGACCCAAAGAAAUGUCUAAUUUUGAUGGUCCACAUGUGAUAGAGAUGAAGUUAUCCAAGCACUCAACAUGUUGAUCAAUGAGAUUUUGGCAAAAGAGAUGUAAGGACCCCAU